AUUGAACGCUGGCGGCAUGCUUUACACAUGCAAGUCGAACGGUAACAGGCCUUCGGGUGCUGACGAGUGGCGAACGGGUGAGUAAUGCAUCGGAACGUACCCAGAGGUGGGGGAUAACGCAGCGAAAGCUGUGCUAAUACCGCAUGUGAUCUGAGGAUGAAAGCGGGGGACCGAGCAGCAAUGUUUGGCCUCGCGCCUUUGGAGCGGCCGAUGUCGGAUUAGCUAGUUGGUGGGGUAAAGGCCUACCAAGGCGACGAUCCGUAGCUGGUCUGAGAGGACGUCAACCCCCUCAGGGACUGAGCCACGGCCCAGACUCCUACGGGCGGCCGCAGUGGGGACUUUUGGACACUGGGCGCAAGCCUGCUCCAGCAACGCAGCCUGCGGGAAGAAGGCCUUCGUGUUGUAAGCCGCUUUUGGCAGGAACGAAACGGUGUCCGCUAAUACCGGGCUAUAAUGACGGUACCGGCAGAAUAGCACCGGCUAACUACGUG
This 491-nucleotide ribosomal RNA is filed under the name uncultured bacterium. RNAcentral describes it as "partial 16S ribosomal RNA". It matches the Rfam family "Bacterial small subunit ribosomal RNA", at positions 30 to 507 of the family's 1533-position model. The record is from RNAcentral.